This is a small RNA of Candidatus Magnetoglobus multicellularis str. Araruama, 46 nucleotides long. It matches the Rfam family "Acido-Lenti-1 RNA". The record is from Rfam. NCBI's taxonomy places the organism in Bacteria, Pseudomonadati, Thermodesulfobacteriota, Desulfobacteria, Desulfobacterales, Desulfobacteraceae.
CCUGGGGUUGAAACCCCAGGCUAUUUCAUGCCGUCCCUUCGGGACU